UGCUAACGUCCGUCGUGGAGAGGGAAACAACCCAGACCGCCAGCUAAGGUCCCAAAUUACUACUAAGUGGGAAACGAUGUGGGAAGGCUCAGACAGCCAGGAUGUUGGCUUAGAAGCAGCCAUCAUUAAAGAAAGCGUAAUAGCUCACUGGUCGAGUCGGCCUGCGCGGAAGAUGUAACGGGGCUAAGUAGUAAACCGAAGCUGCGGCAAUACUCUUUGAGUAUUGGGUAGGGGAGCGUUCUGUAAGCGGUUGAAGGUGUGUGGUAACGCAUGCUGGACGUAUCAGAAGUGCGAAUGCUGACAUGAGUAACGAUAAAGGGGGUGAAAAACCUCCUCGCCGGAAGACCAAGGGUUCCUGUCCAACGUUAAUCGGGGCAGGGUAAGUCGACCCCUAAGGCGAGGCCGAAAGGCGUAGUCGAUGGGAAACGGGUUAAUAUUCCCGUACUUCUUACAAUUGCGAUGGGGGGGACGGAGAAGGCUAGGUGGGCCUGGCGACGGUUGUCCAGGUUCAAGUGCGUAGGCUUAAGAGUUAGGUAAAUCCGGCUCUUUCUAAGGCUGAGACACGACGUCGAGCACCUACGGGUGUGAA
This 589-nucleotide ribosomal RNA is filed under the name Vibrio parahaemolyticus. RNAcentral describes it as "partial 23S ribosomal RNA". It matches the Rfam family "Bacterial large subunit ribosomal RNA", at positions 996 to 1589 of the family's 2925-position model. Lineage: Bacteria; Pseudomonadati; Pseudomonadota; Gammaproteobacteria; Vibrionales; Vibrionaceae. The record is from RNAcentral.